This 230-nucleotide ribosomal RNA is filed under the name uncultured bacterium. RNAcentral describes it as "partial 16S ribosomal RNA". It matches the Rfam family "Bacterial small subunit ribosomal RNA", at positions 524 to 751 of the family's 1533-position model. The record is from RNAcentral.
UACGUAGGGUGCAAGCGUUGUCCGGAAUUAUUGGGCGUAAAGAGCUCGUAGGCGGUCUGUCGCGUCUGCUGUGAAAACUCAGGGCUUAACCCUGAGCUUGCAGUGGGUACGGGCAGACUAGAGUGCGGUAGGGGAGACUGGAAUUCCUGGUGUAGCGGUGAAAUGCGUAGAUAUUGGGAGGAACACCAGUGGCGAAGGCGGCUCACUGGACCGGUUCUGAACGCGUGAGG